This 253-nucleotide ribosomal RNA is filed under the name uncultured bacterium. RNAcentral's name for it is "partial 16S ribosomal RNA". It matches the Rfam family "Bacterial small subunit ribosomal RNA", at positions 524 to 776 of the family's 1533-position model. The record is from RNAcentral.
GACGAACCGAGCGAACGUUAUUCGGAAUCACUGGGCUUAAAGGGCGCGUAGGCGGGCCAUCAAGUCAGGGGUGAAAGCCCCCAGCUCAACUGGGGAAGUGCCUCUGAUACUGGUGGCCUCGAGGGAGGUAGGGGCGUGCGGAACUUCCGGUGGAGCGGUGAAAUGCGUAGAUAUCGGAAGGAACACCGGUGGCGAAAGCGGCGCGCUGGACCUCUUCUGACGCUGAUGCGCGAAAGCGUGGGGAGCAAACGGG